CAGUAGCCACGGGAAUACGAGGGGGGCAAGCGUUGUUCGGAAUUAUUGGGCGUAAAGGGUGCGUAGGCGGUUUGACAAGUCUUAUGUGAAAUCUCUGGGCUCAACCCAGAGUCUGCAUGGGAAACUGUCGAGCUUGAGUAUGGGAGAGGUGAGUGGAAUUUCCGGUGUAGCGGUGAAAUGCGUAGAUAUCGGAAGGAACACCUGUGGCGAAAGCGGCUCACUGGACCAUUACUGACGCUGAUGCACGAAAGCUAGGGGAGCAAACAGGAUUAGAGACCCCUGUAGUCCCUGUCUCUUAUAC
RNAcentral lists this ribosomal RNA (301 nucleotides) under uncultured bacterium. RNAcentral's name for it is "partial 16S ribosomal RNA". It matches the Rfam family "Bacterial small subunit ribosomal RNA", at positions 509 to 807 of the family's 1533-position model. The record is from RNAcentral.